GACGAACGCUGGCGGCGUGCUUAACACAUGCAAGUCGAACGGAAAGGCCCUGCUUUUGUGGGUGCUCGAGUGGCGAACGGGUGAGUAACACGUGAGUAACCUGCCCUUGACUUUGGGAUAACUUCAGGAAACUGGGGCUAAUACCGGAUAGGAGCUCCUGCUGCAUGGUGGGGGUUGGAAAGUUUCGGCGGUUGGGGAUGGACUCGCGGCUUAUCAGCUUGUUGGUGGGGUAGUGGCUUACCAAGGCUUUGACGGGUAGCCGGCCUGAGAGGGUGACCGGCCACAUUGGGGCUGAGAUACGGCCCAGACUCCUACGGGAGGCAGCAGUGGGGAAUAUUGCACAAUGGGCGGAAGCCUGAUGCAGCAACGCCGCGUGCGGGAUGACGGCCUUCGGGUUGUAAACCGCUUUCGCCUGUGACGAAGCGUGAGUGACGGUAAUGGGUAAAGAAGCACCGGCUAACUACGUG
RNAcentral lists this ribosomal RNA (467 nucleotides) under uncultured bacterium. Its description in RNAcentral is "partial 16S ribosomal RNA". It matches the Rfam family "Bacterial small subunit ribosomal RNA", at positions 28 to 507 of the family's 1533-position model. The record is from RNAcentral.